Molecule: ribosomal RNA, 253 nt
Filed under: uncultured bacterium
Lineage: Bacteria
Description: partial 16S ribosomal RNA
Rfam family: Bacterial small subunit ribosomal RNA
Source: RNAcentral
UACGUAUGGUGCAAGCGUUAUCCGGAUUUACUGGGUGUAAAGGGAGCGCAGGCGGCACGGCAAGCCUGAUGUGAAAGCCCGCGGCCCAACCGCGGGACUGCAUUGGGAACUACCGGGCUGGAGUGCCGGAGAGGUAGGCGGAAUUCCUAGUGUAGCGGUGAAAUGCGUAGAUAUUAGGAGGAACACCAAUGGCGAAGGCGGCCUACUGGACGGUGACUGACGCUGAGGCUCGAAAGCGUGGGGAGCAAACAGG